RNAcentral lists this long non-coding RNA (8196 nucleotides) under Triticum aestivum (bread wheat). Its description in RNAcentral is "long non-coding RNA (TAES_LNC028042)". Lineage: Eukaryota; Viridiplantae; Streptophyta; Magnoliopsida; Poales; Poaceae. The record is from RNAcentral.
UGCUCGGUCGUCGGUGAGUACGCGCAGCGGCCCGAAGAGGCGCGUGCUCGCUCCAAGGGCGAGGGGGGAGGCGCCGGAUCUCGCGGGGCAAGUGCGCCAGCGACCUGAGGUAUACAUCGUUCUCUUCCUGAUCUGGAUCCGGCUACUUCAGUUUCCUAGAGUUUACCGAGUAGAUCCGCUGCUGCGCGCAUAGCAUGAGCUGUCGGUGAUCCGCCGUAGGUUUAAUUAUGUCCUCCUUCUGUUGGACUAGGAUCACAGGUGCAUGCAUCUUAAGCCAAGCUGUUGGAUGAAUCAUCAGUAUAUCUAUUUUCUUCAAGAAGUAAAUCAUGCGUGCCGAGUAUUUUUUUUUUCAUUGUUGCCUCGUGUGUGCAUCUUAGUUCUUCAGUGCAGAUUGUUGGCCAUCCGUGAUAGAUUUAUAGUGCUAAUCUGGUGGUGCAAGCUGCUCGAGCAAACCAAAAGUUUUCUAUGCCUUGUUCUACAUGAGGCUUGCUCUACUCUUGGGUAGGUCUGUAUUAGGCACUGUUUCUUCUAUGAAGAACUGUGCACUAGUGAUAAUAGUGUGAGAUUGUUAUUUACCCGUUACUUUUUUUGUGCUGGUUGGUGUGUGUGUGUGAUCUUAAGUGCAGAAUGCUUGUCAUUCACUCUUACUUUUUGUGGGUCAUUUAGAUUGUCUGAGUUUUUUUUAGGUUCUGCUCAUUUCUUUCCUAGAUAACAUAACUAGCUCAUGAUUCAGUACUGUGUUUCUCUUCAUGAAGAUAUAUUGUACUCUUGCAGAUUUGCUUGCUUGCUGACCAUUGUAAUUUUUUUCUUUUCAAUAGGUAUCUUGGUGUAGAAUGAAGUGAAGAGGGCAGAGUAUCUUGGUCUUAUUAAUCAAUGCAUCAUAUUAUGUGCGCAAUAAGAUUUUGCUAUGCUUUCACCGUCGAUGCCCACUGGUUGGAUCAUGCUUCUGUUUAUGAGCUCAUUGAAGUAACUCUCUCGUAGCUCAAAUGGGCCAAUUUCUCGUUUGCGUGGCACACAAAACCUUCAGCUAUCCAUCUCCAUAUCAGUUGGUCUCUCUUAAAUUUGUAAUCUUCUGGAAAUAUGCUUAAGUAUAAUAAAUGAUGCGAAGGUAGAUCAUAGAACAUGAACACAUGGUGUAAAAGAGGCACUCAUGCACCAAAACUAUAAAAAGCAGCAAAGAAAAUGAGUAAAAGAGGCACUUGACUUGUAGAUUAUACAAGAGUGAUGAUCUGGAAGUCAACCCUCUUUUAUCAGUAGUUUUGAUCUACCUUCUCAUCUAUAGGAUUAGUUAUUAUGUCUAAGCAUGUUUUUAGAAGAUUAGAAGAUUAAGCAAGCUCAUUCGAUAUGUAAGGUGGAUAGUUUGAGGUUUUGUUUAUCAUGAAAAACAAGGGAUUAGCAAGUUUGAGCUCGGUGGUAGAAUUGCUCAAUGAGAUCGUGAAUAGGAGCAUGAUUCAACCAAUUGACAUCAAUGUUGACAAAGGCAUGGAAAAAUCUUAUCGUAUACAUGAUAUGGUGAUUGAUUUCAUGUGCUGAAGAAAAACACUUGUGGCACUGAGUGAAAGCGGUCUAUCCAAAGGCAAGAUUUGAAGAUUAUCCACCCGAAAGAGCACUACAGGUAGCAGUGAUGUGACAAUGUGGUCUCUUGCAAUUGUUGAUUCAGUGUAGAUUAUAUUGAGUGUUCCAAGUUCUACAUGCCCUGGAUAUAGAAUAUUGUGCUGCAUGUCUCCAUUCUUGGCAAUCACAAUGAUUCAAGAAUACUGUGUUUGCUAGGACAUGAAGCUCCCAUUGUAUUUCUAACCACUAAUUCUGAAUUAAUAGUCAUGAAUCUCUUGGUGUAUUUGUACCAACUUUGCUGAAUCUAGAACUGUCAAAGUUCUGUGUCGGCUCCUGCAGUUAGCUCAUGAUGAAUUUGUUUUCCCAUUCCUUUAUUUUGAUGCUUGAUUGUUAGUCUGUGUGAUUCUGAUUAUUAUCCGUUGUGUCUCUUUUCUUUAUAGCAGUAGCAGCUUUUGAAGUCCUUUUACUCUGCUUUUUGUAUGAAAUUUAAGGUCAUUGUUCUGAAAUGAUCUGUAUAUGUUGUUGUGAAUUUUUUUAAUGUCCUGUAUAUGUUACAUUUGUUUAAAUUUGUACUAGCCUGAACUGAUUAAAUGAUUUUUGUAGGUAAAAUGAUAUGGAUGAGUACAGUACUAAUGUCUUCAAAUUUGUACUAGCCUGAACUGAUUAAAUGAUUUUUGUAGGUAAAAUGAUAUGGAUGAGUACAGUACCAAUGUCUUCAGCUGUUAUUUUCUUUCUGACUGCUAUCAGUAGCAGGAUCACAAGUGAGGGCGUGCAAUGCCCGUGCUGAAUCUACUUGUUGAGCCGUUUGAAGAUAUUGGUCCUGCAUGCUUCCAUUUUUGCCAAUCGAGGCGGUAUGAGAGGCUGAGGCUCUAGAGCACUGCAUUUGCCCUGUUUUGAUUUGUCUUUCUUCUGUAGUAGAGACAUGAAGUUCUACUUGAGAUUGUAAGGAACUUGCAGUCAGUCAAGUUUAUAGUACAAUUUGUUCAAACAGUUCAGUUUAUAAUACAAUUUCUUCGAACUUGACUUCUGUACUGAUGCUAAGAUUUCUGGAACCAUAUGUUGUGAAGCAAAAGAAAGCCCACUCCUAGGUCUUGCACUUUAUGGCAUGGCACAAACGUGUACAUGAUUCUUUUUACCCUGAGAUGGAGGCAUUAGAAAUUUUUGAUCGCUAGAAAUUCUAGUGUUCCUCUCGAUCCAAAGCCAAUUCCACUGCUGUAGUGUACAUUCUUUCAAAAAAUUUAGACUUUGGAUAGUUAUAGCGGCCCAUGGUGGAAGAUGUACCUUUCUUUAGCAUUUGAUCUCGAGCUGAGAAAAGUACUUACACGGUCAAUGUUGGUUUCCUUCUACUCACUCCAUUCCUAAAUAUAGGUCUGGUUCCUAAAUAUAGGUCUUUCUAGAGAUUUCAAUAAGUGACUACAUACGAUACAAAAUAAAUGAAGCUAGACUUUAAAAUAUGUCUACAUACAUUCAUAUAUAAUAGUCCAUUUAAAAUAUCUAAAAAAACUUAUAUUUUGAGGGAGUACAUUCCUAGCUACCCCAGCUUCUACCAGGAAACAAAGAUUUUUCUAGUGUUUUUUCUUUGAAAGAUUUAUUGUUCACAGAAAGCAGCUGAGCUCGGGUUAGAAAUGAAUAUUCGCACGUUACCAGCCACUUCACCCAGAACACCACCAGACUCGCGCUUAGUUAAGCCGCACAAGCUAAGACAGGGAGAUCGCAGUGUGAUCUUCGCUUCGACAGGUUACUGAUGGUGCUAGAAAAUACUACUCCCCCAGUUUGAAUUAUAAGAUGUUCUAAUAUUUUUAAAAUUCGGAUUUAUAUACACGUGUUUUAGUGUGUGUAUUUAUUUAUUCCAGUCUGUAUAUAGUCUAUAUUAAAAUGUCCAAAACGUUUUAUAAUUUGGAACAGAGGUGAUGCGUCACAUUAACUGUUUGAAACAUUUUUUUGCAUGCUUCAACAUUGCACAUAACGUGGUGAAUAUUACAUGUGGCUGUGUGUGCUUCUGUAUUUAGAGUAACCGAGCCGUUCAUAUCAAUGCAUGUCUUCUCAACAUAGACUCCACGGUGCUAAACUGCUAAUCGAAUUCGUCGACAUGGACUCCACGGUGCGAGCCUCCAGCUCCCCUGCUUCUAGUCCGACCAAGACAUAGGUUUGCCUUGCCUUCUAACAACAUGAAACUUAGGGCCUGUUCGGAGAUUCUCCACUCCCCAAGUCCGCUCCGGGAGUUGGUGAAGCUGUAGUUGAAAAUGAUGCAGUGGGGAAAAAGGAGCUCCGCAGAUUCUGAGAUUUCAGGGAGCUGAACACUUAUGCCUGAAUUCUGUUAAUCAGAUUCUGAGAUUUCAGGGAGCUGGACACUUACGCCUGAACUCUGUUAUCACUUCCGUCGAUUCAAGAACCGUCAAGUUUCUGCCAUGCCUCCUGCGUUACAAUGUACUGCUGGUUGGUUAAUUUGCCUGCUUUGAUUAUCUGCUCCGUUUCUUUCUUCAUAGCAGCUUUCAGAAUUCAGACUCGUUUAUUUCGGACUUGUGGAAUAAGAAUUGUUCAGUUAAUAAGAUCUUGUGAAGUUUUGCCUUGAAUUCUAGCCGUUGCGUUUUUGUUUCUUCAUCCCCGUUUCAUGGUACAAAGUUUACCAAACAAAGAGGAAACACAGUGGGUGUUGGUGACUCUGUUGAUGCAUCGAUGUCUGAUCUUGAGAAAGAUUUGAUGAGCAAACCAUAUCAGGCAACUUGUUACUUUUCUGUAGCGUAGCAACACGCCAGUUUACACAGCAUGUCAUGACGGCACAUAAGCAUGAUUUUAGGUUGACAGGGCACACGAUUAGCAAACAAAAGGAAAUACGAAGGCAACAAAAUAAUUAAUUCUCCUUUUGAAAGAAAUGUAAAUAAAUAAAUUUAUAUAAUCAACUAUUCACUCGUUCUUUCUUCUACGCGUUCUCGCCUCUAGUUGGGUCGCACUUUUCACGCACCAUCUUUUUUAAUUAGCUAGAAUUCACAAAUUUAUAUAAUCAACUAUUUUUUUUCUAUUUUAUUUAUUGAUGUGAAACUUGAAUCUAGAUUAGAAACUGCUGUGUGGUGCGAUAAAAGCAUAUCGUGUUGAUGUUGUCAAAUUUCUGCCCUUUUUGGUGAACACCACAAACCGUGUUGAUGAUACUUCAUCCCACCAACUGAUGGCUGAUGAGCAGAAUGACAAAUUUGUUUUAAUCCUAUCAUGAGGACUUCUUCAGUUUAUGAUGGCAUCUGUUUUUCCACAAGCGCAUUAGAUGCCCCGAUGCAGCAAAUAUAUUUUGUAUCCAUCCUUAGGCUUCAUUCAGUUUGAAGGAUUUUUACAAGAAAAGCAUAGGAACAAAGAUCCAGAGGAGAUUUUUCUAUAGAUGCAUUCGGUUUCUAGGAAAUGUGUACGGGAAUUUCAUAGAAAUACUAUUUAUUUUCUACGUUUUUAAAGAAAUUUUCAUGUCCAUUCAAAGCUCAUUUCGUGUGUAGGAGCGAGAUAAGACAAUUCCUUAGGAUGGCAUCAACUUCCUCUACUAUUCCUAAAUCCUACGUUUUUGUUUCAUCCAAAUCGAAUGAGGCCUUAUACUUCCAAUCAAACAGUGCAAGGAAAUAGUCUUAGGACCUCUUUGAUUCAUAGGAUUUCUAAAAUGCAGGAAUAGAAAAAAUACUGGAACGGAGUAGCAUGGCAUCUCCAAUCUUAUAGGACUAAUGGGCGUUUGAUUGCACAUAGGAUAGAUGUUCUUGACACGGAGCUGGAGUAGAUGGAAAUUUUACUAUGAAACCUAGUACAAACAAAUCCUAAGGAAGAAAAUCUUACGAAUCGUAAUCCUACACUAGUAGAAAACAGGACUUUCGUUCGGGCCUGGCCAACCCAUUAGUCCCAGUUCAGUCACGAACCGGGACCCAUGGGGGAAUUUGUUCCGGUUCGUGAGCCCAUGGGGCCGGCCGGGGCCUCGUGGGCAUUGGUCCCGGUUCGUAUGGACCUAUUUGUCCCGGUUCCAGGCACGAACCGGGACCAAUGGUCCUCGCUCCUGGCCCACAAUCAUUGAUCCCAAUUCGUGGCUUGAACCGAGACAGAAUGCUGGGAUUUAGUCCCGGUUUCUACCAUGAACCGGGACAAAUGAGUUGCCUAUAUAUACCCCAUCGCCACAGCAGAGCACUCCACAGUGCUCUAUUUUUUCUGGCCGACGAGGGGAGGGCAUUUGGGUGCUCUAGCUCACCUCCUAUGCAUAUGAGGUGUUCUAUGAAAUGUCCGAGCCACACUAGUUAAUUUUUCUCCUCUCGAAACUCGACCUCCGAACUCCAUUUUCCCCGAGAUUUGUCUAGGUUUAGUGGUUCGUCACGUCCCGUCCCUGUCUUCACCGCCGUCGAUCGCCCGCGCCGAUCUCGUCACCGGCACCACCGUGGUGAGCCUCUUGUUCUUAUCUUCUUUCUGAAAAAAAAUAUUCUUACUUCAGAUAGAUACUUGUCUAAUUUUCUUACUUUUAUUAUUCCUUGUUAUUAUAUAGUGCGAUGGUUUUGGCAUCCGCCCCCGUCGGCCCUCGUCCUGUCUAUGAUUCGGAUGUGGUAUAUAUUAUCUUUUGAUAACUAUUUGGUUCAUUUAUUGUUUAUGACAAUUAUGCCGACCAACGUGACAUAGAUUUUAUUUAUCUAGGAGGUCGUUGAACCAGAAAUUCCAACGGACCCUAUUGUCGAGAGAUUAAAUUUAGUUGAAGAAGAAAACAAUUACUUGAAGGAAAAAAUAAGAAAAAUUGAGGAGGAGAAGAUGAUAUUGGAGUUGCAUGUUGCGGAUGUCGUCGAUGAUCACAAGAUCAAGAUGGAUGCAAUGCGGUUGAAGAUUAGAAAGAUUAGAAAAUAUGCCAUUCAUACCGAGGCUUGGUAUCAUUAUGCAGUUGGAUCGGUUGUUACCUUGGUUCGAUUAUGAUCGCAUUUGUUGUUGCAUUGAAAUAUUUUACAUAAUUUCAAUGAAUGGUUAAUUUGAUGCUCUGGAGAGCUAUAUGUUGUUCAAUGAGAACUAUGUAUGUAUUUUGGUUUUAAUGUGAUGAUGAACUUCUAUUAAUUUGGUCACUUAUCUAUUCAUGAGAGGGUUGAAAAUUGAUGAUGUGGCUUUGAAUGGUGCAUUUUGAACACAAAAAACUAUGGAGUUCAAAUAAGUUCAAAAAAAUGAAAUCCCUUUGUAACAGAUGAGUUUCGUGAUGAAACCCUGAUACUUCGAAAAAGAUUGUCCGUUUUGUACACGAAGUGCAUUCAGUUUUUGCCGUAACCCACUCUACUUUCUUGCACAUGCUAUGUGGGUGAAAUGAUGAUACCAUGCCAACUUUCAACCUUUUCAGAGUUCAUUUCAAAUGCUUUUCAAUUUCAUGGUCUUAUAGAUAAAAAUAAUCAGUAAAUGCAUGAAAAAUAAUAAAUGAAGUCAUAAAUGGUUGAAAAUUGAUGAUGUGGCUUUGAAUGGUGCAUUUUGAACACAGAAAAACUAUGGAGUUCAAAUAAGUUCAAAAAAAUAAAAUCCCUUUGUAACAGACGAGUUUCCUUAUGAAAUCCUGAUACUUCGAAAGAGAUUGUCCGUUUUGUACACGAAGUGCAUCCAGUUUUUGCCGUAACCCUCUCUACUUUCUUGCACAUGCUAUGUGGGUAAAAUGAUGUUACCAUGCCAACUUUCAACCUUUUCAGAGUUCAUUUCAAAUGCUUUUCAAUUUCAUGGUCUUAUAGCUCAAAAUAAUCAGUAAAUGCAUGAAAAAUAUCAAAUGAAGUCAGAUAGGGUUGAAAAUUGAUGAUGUGGCUUUGAAUGGUGCUUUUUGAACACAAAAAAACUAUGUAGUUCAAAUAAGUUUUAAAAAAUAAAAUCCCUUUUUAACAGACGAGUUUCGUGAUGAAACCCUGAUACUUCGAAAGAGAUUGUCCGUUUUGUACACGAAGUGCAUCCAGUUUUUGCCGUAACCCACUCUACUUUCUUGCACAUGCUAUGUGGGUGAAAUGAUGAUACCAUGCCAACUUUCAACCUUUUCAGAGUUCAUUUCAAAUGCUUUUCAAUUUCAUGGUCUUAUAGAUCAAAAUAAUCAGUAAAUGCAUGAAAAAUAACAAAUAAAGUCAGAAAGGGUUGAAAAUUGAUGAUGUGGCUUUGAAUGGUGCAUUUUGAACACAGAAAAACUAUGGAGUUCAAAUAAGUUCAAAAAAUGAAAUCCCUUUUGUAAUAGACGAGUUUUCGUAUGAAACCCUGAUAACAAAAAUGAAAUCCCUUUGUAACAGACGAGUUUCCGUAUGAAAUCCCUUUGUUUCAGAGUUCAUAAAUAACUUUUUUGUUACAAACUUUAAUAGCAAAAAGAAUUAUCAUAAAAUAAAAUAAAUAAGUAAUUUGAAACAAAAUAAUAUAAACUUUAAUAAAAUAUAUAAGCAGAAACAAAAUAAAAUAAUCUUUAAUAACAUAAAUAAAAUUUAUGAAACUAAAAUUAUCAAAGUAUUUUCUGUUCAAAAUAAUUAAAAGCAAAAAGAAUUUUCAUAAAGAACUUUUUUUGUUAGAAACUUUAAUAGCAAAAAGAAUUAUCAUAAAAUAAAAUAAAUAAGUAAUUAUAAACAAAAUAAAAUAAAAUAAAUAAGUAUUUUGUUGUAAGUAGAAAGAAAACAAAAUAAAUAAAGCAAAAAAAGAAAACAAAAAAAC